RNA transcript from Hyaena hyaena (striped hyena), 4108 nucleotides. It is a transcript of the gene named aconitase 1, with no coding region annotated. The record is from RefSeq and is a predicted model, not a curated record. NCBI's taxonomy places the organism in Eukaryota, Metazoa, Chordata, Mammalia, Carnivora, Hyaenidae. The transcript has 22 exons.
CCCAAGGGACGCAGGGGGAGGGGCGCGGAGGCGGCUGCCCCUAGAUCCACGCAGCGCUCGGGAGCGCGUCCCGCACUUGGCGCCUGCCCGCGCGCAGAUCCAGGCCGUGCACUUAGCGAGACACGUGGCCAUCAAGAAUCAUGAGCAACCCAUUUGCACACCUGGUGGAGCCUUUAGAUCCUGCACAACCAGGAAAGAAAUUCUUCAAUUUGAACAAACUGAAGGAUUCAAGAUAUGAACGCUUACCAUUUUCUAUCAGAGUUCUCCUGGAGGCAGCCAUUCGGAACUGUGAUCAAUUUUUGGUGAAGAAAAAUGACAUUGAAAAUAUCCUAAAUUGGAAUGUCAUGCAGCAUAAGAACAUAGAAGUGCCAUUUAAGCCUGCCCGCGUCAUCCUGCAGGACUUUACGGGUGUGCCAGCUGUGGUUGACUUCGCGGCAAUGCGUGAUGCUGUGAAAAAGUUAGGAGGGGAUCCAGAGAAAAUAAACCCUGUUUGUCCUGCUGAUCUUGUAAUUGAUCAUUCCAUCCAGGUUGAUUUCAACAGAAGGGCAGACAGUUUACAGAAGAAUCAAGACCUGGAAUUUGAAAGAAAUAGAGAACGGUUUGAAUUUUUAAAGUGGGGUUCUCAGGCUUUUCGCAACAUGCGGAUUAUACCCCCCGGCUCAGGAAUCAUCCACCAGGUGAAUCUGGAGUAUUUGGCAAGAGUGGUAUUUGAUCACGAUGGCUAUUAUUACCCUGACAGCCUUGUGGGCACAGAUUCGCACACUACCAUGAUUGAUGGUUUGGGAGUUCUCGGCUGGGGAGUGGGUGGUAUCGAAGCAGAGGCAGUCAUGCUGGGUCAGCCGAUCAGCAUGGUGCUUCCCCAGGUGAUCGGCUACAGGCUGAUGGGAAAUCCCCACCCUCUGGUGACAUCCACGGACAUCGUGCUCACCAUUACCAAGCACCUGCGCCAGGUUGGGGUAGUGGGCAAAUUUGUCGAGUUCUUCGGGCCGGGAGUAGCCCAGCUGUCCAUUGCCGACCGAGCUACGAUCGCGAACAUGUGUCCAGAGUACGGGGCGACGGCUGCAUUUUUCCCGGUUGACGAAGUCAGCAUCAAGUACCUGGUGCAGACGGGUCGGGAUGAAGAAAAAGUAAAGCAAAUGAAAAAGUAUCUUCAAGCUGUAGGAAUGUUCCGGGAUUUCAGUGACCUCUCUCAAGACCCUGACUUUGCCCAGGUUGUGGAAUUGAAUUUGAGAACAGUCGUGCCUUGCUGCAGUGGACCAAAAAGGCCCCAGGACAAAGUCGCUGUGACCGACUUGAAAAAGGACUUUGAGAGCUGCCUUGGAGCCAAGCAAGGGUUUAAAGGAUUCCAGGUUGCUCUGGACCAUCAUAAUGACCAUAAGACGUUUAUCUAUAAUAAUAGUGAAUUCACCCUUACUCAUGGUUCUGUGGUCAUCGCGGCCAUUACCAGCUGCACUAACACCAGUAACCCAUCAGUGAUGUUGGGGGCAGGAUUGUUAGCAAAGAAAGCUGUGAACGCCGGCCUGUCCGUGAAGCCUUACAUCAAAACUAGCCUGUCUCCUGGAAGCGGCGUGGUCACCUACUACCUGCGAGAGAGUGGCGUCAUGCCUUAUCUGUCACAGCUUGGGUUUGAUGUGGUGGGUUACGGGUGCAUGACCUGCAUUGGCAACAGUGGACCCUUACCCGAGCCUGUGGUGGAAGCCAUCACGGAGGGAAACCUUGUAGCAGUUGGAGUACUCUCUGGGAACAGGAAUUUUGAAGGUCGAGUCCACCCCAAUACCCGGGCCAACUACUUAGCCUCUCCACCCUUAGUGAUAGCAUAUGCAAUUGCCGGGACCAUCCGGAUCAACUUUGAGAAAGAGCCACUGGGGGUAAAUGCAAAGGGACAACAAGUGUUUCUGAAAGACAUCUGGCCAACCAGAGACGAGAUCCAGGUGGUGGAGCGUCAGUACGUAAUCCCUGGGAUGUUUAAGGAGGUCUACCAGAAAAUAGAGACUGUGAAUGAGAGCUGGAAUGCCUUAGCAGCCCCCUCGGAUAAGCUGUAUUGCUGGAAUCCCAAAUCGACCUACAUUAAGUCACCACCGUUCUUUGAAAAUCUGACUUUAGAUAUCCAGCCGCCUAAGUCUAUAGUGGAUGCGUACGUGCUGUUAAAUUUGGGAGAUUCGGUAACAACUGACCACAUCUCUCCAGCUGGAAACAUUGCAAGAAACAGCCCUGCUGCCCGUUACUUAACUAACAGAGGCUUGACUCCACGAGAAUUCAACUCCUACGGCUCCCGCCGAGGUAAUGAUGCCAUCAUGGCCCGGGGGACAUUUGCCAACAUUCGCUUGUUAAACAAAUUUUUGAACAAGCAGGCACCACAGACUAUACAUCUGCCUUCUGGAGAAAUUCUUGACGUGUUCGAUGCCGCAGAGCAGUACCGGCAGGCAGGCCUUCCCCUCAUCGUGCUGGCUGGCAAAGAGUAUGGUUCGGGCAGCUCCCGGGACUGGGCAGCCAAGGGCCCUUUCCUCCUGGGAAUCAAAGCCGUCCUGGCGGAGAGUUACGAGCGCAUUCACCGCAGUAACUUGGUGGGAAUGGGGGUGAUUCCCCUUGAAUAUCUCCCUGGGGAGACUGCAGACACCCUGGGACUCACAGGGCAAGAACGAUACACGAUCAUCAUUCCAGAGAACCUCAAACCACGAAUGAAAGUGCAGGUCAAGCUGGACACCGGGAAGACCUUCCAGGCCGUCAUGAGGUUUGACACCGACGUGGAGCUUGCUUAUUUCCACAACGGGGGCAUCCUCAACUACAUGAUCCGCAAGAUGGCCAAGUAGGUCACCUGCACUUGGAGCUGCACCAGAAGGGAACAAAGUGCCACCAACCAGCUGGGCCCUUGGUGCAGAGAACCCCCCUCCACGCGUGGGCCUCCCCGCAGGGGUGCUGCCUGGCACACAGGCGUACGAACACGGAUGUGUUCUGGUGCCAUCCCUCCAGGCACAAAACGAGCAGUUUCUACCUUCUCUAUUCUUGUGAAUCUUUGGCCCUUUUUCUAGAAUUUGGAAGCAAGAGUGGUGGCGAUGUCAGUAGUGCCAGAAAGGGAGAACUAAGCUUCUCUUUAAAGUAACUUAUCACAGGAUGUUGAUGUUUUUCACUCUCAGCCUGUUAUUGUUCGGCUGGACACAGUAAGUCUUCUCAGAAGGCGUCGCCUGUCCUCUUUCCUGUUGGGUUCUGUUCUCCUCUGCUCCAUGAAACCUUUUCCAUGAGGCUCACUGGUCUUUGCAUAGUGUGCUGGCAUUGCCUGACAUGGGUCGGUAAGAACUCUCUCACACUUGAGAUCACAGUGGUGAUUGUGACUCCCCUGCGCCCUUCCUCCUUCAGAGCGAAUGAUCCAGACACCUUGGAUCAGACACUGACAUUUUUUUAUUAUGUACCUUUAGGUGGAUCAACACUAAAGAAAUUGUGACAUUUUUCUUUUACUACCUUCAAAAAUUUUCCCCAGAAAAUUUCUCACUUGUCAAGGGGAGGACUUUGGAGGUGGUUUUGGAGAGAGACUUAGAACAUUGGUAAUUUGAAUAAGAUUAAAUCUAUUUUCAAGGAAAACUUUUUGACUUUGCAAUUGAUUUCUAUUGUAUGUGAGGCUCUAGUCUGGGCAUAUUUAGAGCAGAGUGAGUCUCAGGCUGCCAGCAUCUUGAAGCCUGGGUGACAUUUAAUUUCUCCUGCUUUUACAACCCUAUCCGUACUAUAUACAGGGGAAAUGGAAGAGUUGGGGAGCCAGGAUUUUGCUGCCCUGGUUGGGAGCAGACAAGGUAGUAGCCGCAAUAAUGUGAGAAACCCAUCACCACGUCAGCACUGGCAGGAGCCAAAGAGAAUCCAGGUCCUGUGGGUGCAUAGCAGAUUGUGUCUGAACCACCUGAUGAACUUCAGAAAGUACACAUGGCUGGACGCCCUCCUGGGGCAUCCUCAUGGGGGUGGGGCAUAGACCCAUGAAACAGACUCCCCAGUGGGUUUGGGCAUACAGCCUUUGACCUAGAAAUCCAAUGACCAGCAUUUGGGCAUCAGUCAAGAGUUUGCAGUUUUUUAAAUCCUAAACUGCCACUUUUUUUCAUUCAAUAAAUAGUAACUGAGUACCCUG